GCGCGUCAGCCGCUACUGGUGGAUUCUACUUUACCACUGUUACCUCUGUCAUUGCCAAGAAAGACAGGGUUACCUGGUGACGGCUCCCUCAGUUUUUCGAGCAGGCCUGAAGGGGGUGGUCAGUGUCACAAUUUUUAAUCCAGUGAAGGAAACGAAUGUCCAGGUCCAGCUCGUCACCAAAGGGGCAGUCGUCGCUCAUGGUCAUGGCUCUGUCUUUGAAAAAGGGACAGUCACAUUAAAGGUACCUCCAGGGGUCAGUGGACAGGCGCACUUAAAGGUUUGGGGCAAUCGAUAUCUCGUUGACAAUGGAUACAUCUUCCAUAAUUUCACAACUGUUACCAUUGACUCCAAGGGAUCUUCAGUAUUCAUUCAGACAGACAAACCAGUCUACAAACCCAAAC
This is a long non-coding RNA of Rhincodon typus (whale shark), 401 nucleotides long. RefSeq lists it as uncharacterized. Lineage: Eukaryota; Metazoa; Chordata; Chondrichthyes; Orectolobiformes; Rhincodontidae. The transcript has 4 exons. The record is from RefSeq and is a predicted model, not a curated record.